Molecule: ribosomal RNA, 1133 nt
Filed under: Achromobacter xylosoxidans
Lineage: Bacteria; Pseudomonadati; Pseudomonadota; Betaproteobacteria; Burkholderiales; Alcaligenaceae
Description: bacterial SSU rRNA
Rfam family: Bacterial small subunit ribosomal RNA
Source: RNAcentral
GACUUCGGGCUGGUGGCGAUUGGCGAACGGGUGAGUAAUGUAUCGGAACGUGCCCUGUACCGGGGGAUAACUACGCGAAAGCGUACCUGAUACCGCACACGCCCUACGGGGGAAAGCAGGGGAUCUUCGGACCUUGCACUAUUGGAGCGGCCGAUAUCGAAUUACCUAGUUGGUGGGGUAACGGCCUACCAAGGCCACGAUCCGUAGCUGGUUUGAGAGGACCACCAUCCACACUGGGACUGACACACGGCCCAUACUCCUACGGGAGGCAUCAGUGGGGAAUUUUGGACAAUGGGGGAAACCCUGAUCCAGCCAUCCCGCGUGUGCGAUGAAGGCCUUCUGGUUGUAAAUCACUUUUGGCAGGAAAGAAACGUCGCGGGCUAAUACCUCGCGAAACUGACGGUACCUGCAUAAUAAGCACCGGCUAACUACGUGCCAGCUACCUCGGUAAUACCUACGGUGCAAGCGUUAAUCUGAAUUACUGGGCGUAAAGCUUGCGCACGCGGUUCGCAAACAAAUAUGUGAAAUCCCAUAACUUAACUUUGGAACUGCAUUUUUAACUACCGGGCUAGAGUGUGUCAGAGGGAGGUGGAAUUCCGCGUGUAGCAAUUAAAUGCGUAGAUAUGCGGAGGAACACCGAUGGCGAGAGCAGCCUCCUGGGAUGACACUGACUCUCAUGCACGAGAGCCUGGGGAGCAAACACGAGUAGAUACCAUGGGAGUCCACGCCCUAAACGAUGUCAACUAGCUGUUGGGGUCUUCAGACCUUGGUAGCGCACCUCACGCGUUGACUGUGACCGACCUGGGGAGUACGGUCGCCAGGAUGAAUACUGCACAGCGAAGGUGACAAGCUACCCGCACUUGCGGUGGAUCCAUGUGGAUUCAGUUGCGAUGCGACGCUUAAAACCUUACCUACCCCUUGACCUGUCUCGGAGUGCUCGACGAACAUUUGACAGUGCUCGCAGAGGACUGCACCAUCGGUGCUGCAUGGAUGUCUGCAGCUCGUGUCGUGACAUGUCGUGUCAGUCCUGCUACGGAUCACACCCGUUGUCAUCACUUGCCUAUGAUAGUGCACUCCUAUGAUACUGUCGGGUGACCAUACCGUAGAAGCUGGAUGACGUCAGUACCUCAUGG